RNAcentral lists this ribosomal RNA (671 nucleotides) under Salmonella enterica subsp. enterica serovar Amager. RNAcentral's name for it is "partial 23S ribosomal RNA". It matches the Rfam family "Bacterial large subunit ribosomal RNA", at positions 519 to 1191 of the family's 2925-position model. Lineage: Bacteria; Pseudomonadati; Pseudomonadota; Gammaproteobacteria; Enterobacterales; Enterobacteriaceae. The record is from RNAcentral.
AAGAACCCCGGCGAGGGGAGUGAAAAAGAACCUGAAACCGUGUACGUACAAGCAGUGGGAGCACCCUUUGGGGUGUGACUGCGUACCUUUUGUAUAAUGGGUCAGCGACUUAUAUUCUGUAGCAAGGUUAACCGCAUAGGGGAGCCGGAGGGAAACCGAGUCUUAAUUGGGCGUUAAGUUGCAGGGUAUAGACCCGAAACCCGGUGAUCUAGCCAUGGGCAGGUUGAAGGUUGGGUAACACUAACUGGAGGACCGAACCGACUAAUGUUGAAAAAUUAGCGGAUGACCUGUGGCUGGGGGUGAAAGGCCAAUCAAACCGGGAGAUAGCUGGUUCUCCCCGAAAGCUAUUUAGGUAGCGCCUCGUGAAUUCAUCUCCGGGGGUAGAGCACUGUUUCGGCUAGGGGGCCAUCCCGGCUUACCAACCCGAUGCAAACUGCGAAUACCGGAGAAUGUUAUCACGGGAGACACACGGCGGGUGCUAACGUCCGUCGUGAAGAGGGAAACAACCCAGACCGCCAGCUAAGGUCCCAAAGUCAUGGUUAAGUGGGAAACGAUGUGGGAAGGCCCAGACAGCCAGGAUGUUGGCUUAGAAGCAGCCAUCAUUUAAAGAAAGCGUAAUAGCUCACUGGUCGAGUCGGCCUGCGCGGAAGAUGUAACGGGGCUAAACCAUG